Non-coding RNA from Morus notabilis, 79 nucleotides. The record is from Rfam. NCBI's taxonomy places the organism in Eukaryota, Viridiplantae, Streptophyta, Magnoliopsida, Rosales, Moraceae.
AAAUCAGUUGAUGAGAGAAUAACUGCAAGAAUACGAUGGAUUCGUUCCAUGAUUCUCUGUACUUAAGUCUCUGAUGAUU